Molecule: ribosomal RNA, 497 nt
Filed under: uncultured bacterium
Lineage: Bacteria
Description: partial 16S ribosomal RNA
Rfam family: Bacterial small subunit ribosomal RNA
Source: RNAcentral
GAUGAACGCUGGCGGCGUGCCUAAUACAUGCAAGUCGAGCGAACGGACGAGAAGCUUGCUUCUCUGAUGUUAGCGGCGGACGGGUGAGUAACACGUGGAUAACCUACCUAUAAGACUGAGAUAACUUCGGGAAACCGGAGCUAAUACCGGAUAAUAUUUUGAACCGCAUGGUUCAAAAGUGAAAGACGGUCUUGCUGUCACUUAUAGAUGGAUCCGCGCUGCAUUAGCUAGUUGGUAAGGUAACGGCUUACCAAGGCAACGAUGCAUAGCCGACCUGAGAGGGUGAUCGGCCACACGGGAACUGAGGCACGGUCCAGACUCCUACGGGAGGCAGCAGUAGGGAAUCUUCCGCGAUGGGCGAAAGCCUGACGGAGCAACGCCGCGUGAGUGAUGAAGGUCUUCGGAUCGUAAAACUCUGUUAUUAGGGAAGAACAUAUGUGUAAGUAACUGUGCACAUCUUGACGGUACCUAAUCAGAAAGCCACGGCUAACUACGUG